CGGGUAACGCUUCCGAGAGGCCCCACUCCGAGGGGCACUGGGUGAGGGCAGUGGCCGCCUGUGUGGAGAAUCAGACCGGUGGUCAUCUUCGGAGGGAGGACGACAAGCAGACACUGUGCCUCGGAGGACCUCCCAGGGCCCAGUCUGGGCCCCUCCAGGAGUCAGCCUGCUUCUCACGCUGCAGGGGAGGGCAGCCAGGCCCGGAGGUGGCACACGCAGCACUGACCGCCUCUGACCUCAACGGGCGGGGGUGGGGGAGCUGGGGAUGCAAAGGAAGGCUCUGCCUCCCCCACCUCCCUGCCACCCCCACCAAAGUCCCACCUGGCACCUGGAGGCAACCACACACAGCUAAGCGGUGGGAUUAUAACAAUACACACCUGAAACGUUACAUUGCCAUUUGAAACAAGCGGAUGCCCCAACUCGCUAACCUGGUAAUGCCGAGUCCAGGCCCCUCCUUCCAGCAUGGUUCCCUGGCGGGGUCCGGCAGACCGUACCCCCUGCUUUAUACACGACCACGUUGUUCGUGGAUUUCAGUUUAAGGCUGGGUUUCUUUCAAGCGGGCCAAGGACAUAGAAACACUCGCCAAAGCACCCGACUAAAAGGAAUCCUUCUUGAUUCCUAAGAGAUUGUUCCAAUCUUUUACGGUGAUCUCGUCCAAUAGUAACGUCAUCGUAAUGGUCUGAAGUCAGUUUUCUUGCUGGCGUGUCUUCCCCAAGCCUUUAACUGAGUUUUCAUUUUAAAAAAAUAACACUCUCUUCACAUCC
Long non-coding RNA from Pteropus alecto (black flying fox), 764 nucleotides. RefSeq lists it as uncharacterized. The transcript is spliced from 2 exons. Lineage: Eukaryota; Metazoa; Chordata; Mammalia; Chiroptera; Pteropodidae. The record is from RefSeq and is a predicted model, not a curated record.